GAGGUGGUCAGGUAGAGAAUACUAAGGCGAUCGAGAGAACUGUGGUUAAGGAACUCGGCAAAAUGCCCCCGUAACUUCGGGAGAAGGGGGACCAGUCCUGGUGACGACAUUUACUGUCUGAGCUGGGGUUGGUCGCAGAGACCAGAGAGAAGCGACUGUUUACUAAAAACACAGGUCCGUGCGAAGUCGUAAGACGAUGUAUACGGACUGACGCCUGCCCGGUGCUGGAAGGUUAAGAGGACCGGUCAGCCACUUCGGUGGCGAAGCUGAGAAUUUAAGCCCCAGUAAACGGCGGUGGUAACUAUAACCAUCCUAAGGUAGCGAAAUUCCUUGUCGGGUAAGUUCCGACCUGCACGAAUGGCGUAACGACUUCUCUGCUGUCUCAACCACAGACUCGGCGAAAUUGCAGUACGAGUAAAGAUGCUCGUUACGCGCGGCAGGACGAAAAGACCCCGGGACCUUCACUAUAGCUUGGUAUUGGUGUUCGGUUCGGUUUGUGUAGGAUAGGUGGGAGACUGUGAAACUCGCACGCCAGUGUGGGUGGAGUCAUUGUUGAAAUACCACUCUGACCGUAUUGGACAUCUAACCUCGGACCAUGAUCUGGUUCAGGGACAGUGCCUGGUGGGUAGUUUAACUGGGGCGGUUGCCUCCCAAAAAGUAACGGAGGCGCCCAAAGGUUCCCUCAGCCUGGUUGGCAAUCAGGUGUUGAGUGUAAGUGCACAAGGGAGCUUGACUGUGAGACGUACAUGUCGAGCAGGGACGAAAGUCGGGACUAGUGAUCCGGCACCGGCAAGUGGAAGCGGUGUCGCUCAACGGAUAAAAGGUACCCCGGGGAUAACAGGCUGAUCUUCCCCAAGAGUCCAUAUCGACGGGAUGGUUUGGCACCUCGAUGUCGGCUCGUCGCAUCCUGGGGCUGGAGUAGGUCCCAAGGGUUGGGCUGUUCGCCCAUUAAAGCGGCACGCGAGCUGGGUUUAGAACGUCGUGAGACAGUUCGGUCUCUAUCCGCCGCGCGCGUAAGAAACUUGAGGAAACCUGUCCCUAGUACGAGAGGACCGGGACGGACGAACCUCUGGUGUGCCAGUUGUUCCACCAGGAGCACCGCUGGUUAGCUACGUUCGGAAGGGAUAACCGCUGAAAGCAUCUAAGCGGGAAGCCUGUUCCAAGAUGAGGUUUCUCACCUCCUAGCGUGGUUAAGGCCCCCCACAGACCAUGGGGUUGAUAGGCCAGAACUGUAAGCACAGCAAUGUGUUCAGGUGACUGGUACUAAUCGGCCGAGGACUUACAACU
This 1287-nucleotide ribosomal RNA is filed under the name metagenome. RNAcentral's name for it is "bacterial LSU rRNA". It matches the Rfam family "Bacterial large subunit ribosomal RNA", at positions 1660 to 2925 of the family's 2925-position model. The record is from RNAcentral.